GCGGAGGAAAAGAAACUAACAAGGAUUCCCCUAGUAACGGCGAGUGAAGAGGGAAGAGCUCAAAUUUAAAAUCUGGCGGUCUAAGGCCGUCCGAGUUGUAAUCUAGAGAAGUGUUUUCCGUGCCGGACCGUGUACAAGUCCCUUGGAACAGGGCGUCAUAGAGGGUGAGAAUCCCGUCCAUGACACGGACUACCGGUGCACUGUGAUACACUUUCGAAGAGUCGAGUUGUUUGGGAAUGCAGCUCAAAAUGGGUGGUAAAUUCCAUCUAAAGCUAAAUACAGGCGAGAGACCGAUAGCGAACAAGUACCGUGAGGGAAAGAUGAAAAGAACUUUGGAAAGAGAGUUAAACAGUACGUGAAAUUGUUGAAAGGGAAACGCUUGAAGUCAGUCGCGUCCGCAGGGACUCAGCCUUGCUUUUGCUUGGUGUACUUCUCUGUGGAUGGGCCAGCAUCGAUUUUAGUCGCCGGAAAAGGGCGGGAGGAAUGUGGCAGCUUGCUGUGUUAUAGCCUCUCGUCGUACACGGUGGCCGGGAUCGAGGACUGCAGCACGCCUUUUGGUCGGGGUUCGCCCACGCCACGUGCUUAGGAUGCUGGCGUAAUGGCUUUAAACGACCCGUCUUG
RNAcentral lists this ribosomal RNA (621 nucleotides) under Heterochaete sp. MG284. Its description in RNAcentral is "eukaryotic LSU rRNA". It matches the Rfam family "Eukaryotic large subunit ribosomal RNA", at positions 50 to 656 of the family's 3401-position model. The record is from RNAcentral. Lineage: Eukaryota; Fungi; Basidiomycota; Agaricomycetes; Auriculariales; Exidiaceae.